RNAcentral lists this ribosomal RNA (288 nucleotides) under Rhodomicrobium sp. LP7. Its description in RNAcentral is "partial 16S ribosomal RNA". It matches the Rfam family "Bacterial small subunit ribosomal RNA", at positions 291 to 596 of the family's 1533-position model. The record is from RNAcentral. Lineage: Bacteria; Pseudomonadati; Pseudomonadota; Alphaproteobacteria; Hyphomicrobiales; Hyphomicrobiaceae.
UCUGAGAGGAUGAUCAACCACACUGGGACUGAGACACGGCCCAAACUCCUACGGGAGGCAGCAGUGGGGAAUAUUGGACAAUGGGGGCAACCCUGAUCCAGCCAUGCCGCGUGAGUGAAAAAGGCCUUAGGGUUGUAAAGCUCUUUUGGCGGGGACGAUAAUGACGGUACCCGCAGAAUAAGCCCCGGCUAACUUCGUGCCAGCAGCCGCGGUAAUACGAAGGGGGCUAGCGUUGUUCGGAAUCACUGGACGUAAAGCGUACGCAGGCGGAUUGAUAAUUCAGGGGUG